Musca vetustissima is the source of this 109-nucleotide long non-coding RNA. RefSeq lists it as uncharacterized. The transcript has 2 exons. The record is from RefSeq and is a predicted model, not a curated record. Lineage: Eukaryota; Metazoa; Arthropoda; Insecta; Diptera; Muscidae.
AAGCUUUUCUUAACAUACCGGGAAUAGUACCACCGCGGACCCAUUAGACAAUAUACUUCCACCAAUUGCCAGUGCUGGCAAUAAUCUAUUGCAACCAGUCAGUGCUAAC